UACGUAGGGGGCGAGCGUUGUCCGGAAUCAUUGGGCGUAAAGAGCGUGUAGGCGGCUUGGCAAGUCUGACGUGAAAGCCCGCGGCUCAACCGCGGAUUGUCGUUGGAAACUGCCUCGCUAGAGUCCGGAAGAGGAGAGCGGAAUUCCUGGUGUAGCGGUGGAAUGCGCAGAUAUCAGGAAGAACACCCGUGGCGAAGGCGGCUCUCUGGGACGGUACUGGCGCUGAGACGCGAAAGCGUGGGGAGCGAACAGG
Molecule: ribosomal RNA, 253 nt
Filed under: uncultured bacterium
Lineage: Bacteria
Description: partial 16S ribosomal RNA
Rfam family: Bacterial small subunit ribosomal RNA
Source: RNAcentral